CGAAUACCGAAGAAUGUUAUCACGGGAGACACACGGCGGGUGCUAACGUCCGUCGUGAAGAGGGAAACAACCCAGACCGCCAGCUAAGGUCCCAAAGUCAUGGUUAAGUGGGAAACGAUGUGGGAAGGCACAGACAGCCAGGAUGUUGGCUUAGAAGCAGCCAUCAUUUAAAGAAAGCGUAAUAGCUCACUGGUCGAGUCGGCCUGCGCGGAAGAUGUAACGGGGCUAAACCAUGCACCGAAGCUGCGGCAGCGACACUAUGUGUUGUUGGGUAGGGGAGCGUUCUGUAAGCCUGCGAAGGUGACCUGUGAGGGUUGCUGGAGGUAUCAGAAGUGCGAAUGCUGACAUAAGUAACGAUAAAGCGGGUGAAAAGCCCGCUCGCCGGAAGACCAAGGGUUCCUGUCCAACGUUAAUCGGGGCAGGGUGAGUCGACCCCUAAGGCGAGGCCGAAAGGCGUAGUCGAUGGGAAACAGGUUAAUAUUCCUGUACUUGGUGUUACUGCGAAGGGGGGACGGAGAAGGCUAUGUUAGCCGGGCGACGGUUGUCCCGGUUUAAGCAUGUAGGCUGGUUGUCCAGGCAAAUCCGGAUAAUCAAGGCUGAGGUGUGAUGACGAGGCACUACGGUGCUGAAGUAACAAAUGCCCUGCUUCCAGGAAAAGCCUCUAAGCAUCAGGUAACAUUAAAUCGUACCCCAAACCGACACAGGUGGUCAGGUAGAGAAUACCAAGGCGCUUGAGAGAACUCGGGUGAAGGAACUAGGCAAAAUGGUGCCGUAACUUCGGGAGAAGGCACGCUGGUGUGUAGGUGAAGUCCCUGCGGAUGGAGCUGAGACCAGUCGAAGAUACCAGCUGGCUGCAACUGUUUAUUAAAAACACAGCACUGUGCAAACACGAAAGUGGACGUAUACGGUGUGACGCCUGCCCGGUGCCGGAAGGUUAAUUGAUGGGGUUAUCCGUAAGGAGAAGCUCUUGAUCGAAGCCCCGGUAAACGGCGGCCGUAACUAUAACGGUCCUAAGGUAGCGAAAUUCCUUGUCGGGUAAGUUCCGACCUGCACGAAUGGCGUAAUGAUGGCCAGGCUGUCUCCACCCGAGACUCAGUGAAAUUGAACUCGCUGUGAAGAUGCAGUGUACCCGCGGCAAGACGGAAAGACCCCGUGAACCUUUACUAUAGCUUGACACUGAACAUUGAGCCUUGAUGUGUAGGAUAGGUGGGAGGCUUUGAAGCGUGGACGCCAGUCUGCGUGGAGCCAACCUUGAAAUACCACCCUUUAAUGUUUGAUGUUCUAACGUUGGCCCCUUACCGGGGUUGCGGACAGUGUCUGGUGGGUAGUUUGACUGGGGCGGUCUCCUCCCAAAGCGUAACGGAGGAGCACGAAGGUUAGCUAAUCCUGGUCGGACAUCAGGAGGUUAGUGCAAUGGCAUAAGCUAGCUUGACUGCGAGCGUGACGGCGCGAGCAGGUGCGAAAGCAGGUCAUAGUGAUCCGGUGGUUCUGAAUGGAAGGGCCAUCGCUCAACGGAUAAAAGGUACUCCGGGGAUAACAGGCUGAUACCGCCCAAGAGUUCAUAUCGACGGCGGUGUUUGGCACCUCGAUGUCGGCUCAUCACAUCCUGGGGCUGAAGUAGGUCCCAAGGGUAUGGCUGUUCGCCAUUUAAAGUGGUACGCGAGCUGGGUUUAGAACGUCGUGAGACAGUUCGGUCCCUAUCUGCCGUGGGCGCUGGAGAAUUGAGGGGGGCUGCUCCUAGUACGAGAGGACCGGAGUGGACGCAUCACUGGUGUUCGGGUUGUCAUGCCAAUGGCACUGCCCGGUAGCUAAAUGCGGAAGAGAUAAGUGCUGAAAGCAUCUAAGCACGAAACUUGCCCCGAGAUGAGUUCUCCCUGAGACUUUAAGUCUCCUGAAGGAACGUUGAAGACGACGACGUUGAUAGGCCGGGUGUGUAAGCGCAGCGAUGCGUUGAGCUAACCGGUACUAAUGAACCGUGAGGCUUAACCUU
RNAcentral lists this ribosomal RNA (1990 nucleotides) under Klebsiella pneumoniae. RNAcentral describes it as "bacterial LSU rRNA". It matches the Rfam family "Bacterial large subunit ribosomal RNA", at positions 957 to 2925 of the family's 2925-position model. The record is from RNAcentral. Lineage: Bacteria; Pseudomonadati; Pseudomonadota; Gammaproteobacteria; Enterobacterales; Enterobacteriaceae.